GCAAACUUGGUCAUUUAGAGGAAGUAAAAGUCGUAACAAGGUUUCCGUAGGUGAACCUGCGGAAGGAUCAUUACCGAGUAACGGUGCCCUCUGGGCGCCUACUCCCACCCUUUGUGUACCAAACUUCGUUGCUUCGGCGGGCCAGGCGCCCCGCGCCGCCGGCCCAGGCUGGAGAGCGCCCGCCGGAGAACUUUAAAUUCUGUUAAUUUUGCAGUCGGAGUAAAAACAAAUGAAUCAAAACUUUCAACAACGGAUCUCUUGGUUCUGGCAUCGAUGAAGAACGCAGC
This 287-nucleotide unclassified non-coding RNA is filed under the name uncultured fungus. RNAcentral describes it as "partial contains small subunit ribosomal RNA, internal transcribed spacer 1, and 5.8S ribosomal RNA". The stretch from base 1 to 73 matches the Rfam family "Eukaryotic small subunit ribosomal RNA", at positions 1759 to 1831 of the family's 1831-position model. The record is from RNAcentral. Lineage: Eukaryota; Fungi.